GCUCAAGUGGUGGAAUGGUAGACACGCUAGUUUCAGGUACUAGUGACUUAUGUCGUGUGGGUUCAAAUCCCAUCUUGAGCA
RNAcentral lists this transfer RNA (81 nucleotides) under Eggerthia catenaformis OT 569 = DSM 20559. It matches the Rfam family "tRNA". Rfam says of the family: Transfer RNA (tRNA) molecules are approximately 80 nucleotides in length. Lineage: Bacteria; Bacillati; Bacillota; Erysipelotrichia; Erysipelotrichales; Coprobacillaceae. The record is from Rfam by way of RNAcentral.